AGAGUUUGAUCCUGGCUCAGGAUGAACGCUGGCGGCGUGCUUAACACAUGCAAGUCGAGCGGAAAUAUUUUAAAUGAAGGCUUCGGUUGGUUUAGCGGCGCACGGGUGAGUAACGUGUGGGUAACCUGCCAUAUACUGGGGAAUAAUCAUUUGAAAAGAUGACUAAUACCGCAUGUCGUCACUAAGGGGCAUCUCUUGGUGAAAAAAGGCCUCUGCAUGUAGUAAUCCGGUAUAUGAUGGACCCGCAUCUGAUUAGCUAGUUGGUGAGAUAACAGCUCACCAAGGCGACGAUCAGUAGCCGAUCUGAGAGGAUGAUCCGCCACACUGGCACUGGAACACGGGCCAGACUCCUACGGGAGGCAGCAGUGAGGAAUAUUGCGCAAUGGGGGAAACCCUNACGCAGCGACGCCGCGUGAGUGAGGAAGGCCUUCGGGUCGUAAAGCUCUGUCAAGAGGAAAGAAGUGUACAAUGGCUAAUUACCUUUUGUGUUUGACGGUACCUCUUAAGGAAGCACCGGCUAACUCCGUGCCAGCAGCCGCGGUAAUACGGAGGGUGCAAGCGUUAUUCGGAAUCACUGGGCGUAAAGGGCGCGUAGGCGGUUUGUAAGUCAGAUGUGAAAGCCCACGGCUCAACUGUGGAAGUGCAUUUGAAACUGUCAAGCUUGAGUACCAGAGGGGGAAGUGGAAUUCCCGGUGUAGAGGUGAAAUUCGUAGAUAUCGGGAGGAACACCGCGAAGGCGACUUUCUGGCUGGAUACAGGUGCUAAGGCGGACAAGCGUGGGGAGCAAACAGGAUUAGAUACCCUGGUAGUCCACGCUGUAAACGAUGUGAACUAGAUGCAGGGGGUGUUGAUCCCUGCUGUGUCGCAGCUAACGCAUUAAGUGAUCCGCCUGGGGAGUACGGUCGUGUCGCAAGGCUGAAACUCAAAGAAAUUGACGGGGGCCCGCACAAGGUGGAGUAGUUUAAUUCGAUGCAACGGAAGACUUACCUGGUUUGACAUCCACGGAACCCUCCCGAAACGGAGGGUGCCCUUCGGGGGCCGUGAGACAGUGCUGCAUGGCUGUCGUCAGCUCGUGUCGUGAGAGUUGGGUUAAGUAAGCGCAACCCUUGCCUUUAGUUGCCAGCAGUUCGGGCUGGCCACUCUAAAGGGACUGCCGGUGUUAAACCGGAGGAAGGAGGAAGUGACGUCAAGUCCUUAUGGCCCCUAUGACCAGGGCUACACACGUCCUACAAUGGCCGAUACAAAGGGCAGCGACACUGCGAGGUGGAGCUAAUCCCAUAAAAUCGGGCUCAGUCCGGAUUGGAGUCUGCAACUCGACUCCAUGAAGUUGGAAUCGCUAGUAAUCGAGGAUAUUCGAGAUCAGCAUGCUCGGGUGAAUGCGUUCCCGGGCCUUGUACACACCGCCCGUCACACCACGAAAGUCGGUUUUACCCGAAGCCGGUGAGCCAACCAGCAAUGGAGGCAGCCGUCUACGGUAGGGCCGAUGAUUGGGGUGAAGUCGUAACAAGGUAACC
This 1514-nucleotide ribosomal RNA is filed under the name uncultured delta proteobacterium. RNAcentral's name for it is "bacterial SSU rRNA". It matches the Rfam family "Bacterial small subunit ribosomal RNA". Lineage: Bacteria; Deltaproteobacteria. The record is from RNAcentral.